This is a long non-coding RNA of Eriocheir sinensis (Chinese mitten crab), 966 nucleotides long. RefSeq lists it as uncharacterized. The record is from RefSeq and is a predicted model, not a curated record. NCBI's taxonomy places the organism in Eukaryota, Metazoa, Arthropoda, Malacostraca, Decapoda, Varunidae. The transcript has 3 exons.
GAGAUGGUCAGGCUCACCGGCAGGGUUGUGGACGCCAUGUCUGAGAAGCAGCCGCAGCCCGGGGUUAGACGUGGAGAAGGUUCAGUCCACCGUCCGCCAGGCUGUGCGUGACUGGUCUCCAUCAGGCACAUUGGAGCGGCCCCGUCACUAGCAAGAGUGACCUCCUCUUCCCCAGGACACUGUGGAGGUACUGUCUGGGUCUCCAUGGUGGCCGGCGUCAUGGUGUGGAGCCUAACACUCUGGGCCUUGCUCAGGAUCGUACAAACUGGGGUGGAGAAGCACCCGAUGAAGCUCACCCGGGCACUUUUCUACGGGUGGGGCCUGCUGCUCGAGGACACGCCCUAUGACCCGCCCGAGGGAACACACGGCCUGGACAGCGGGGGCCGGGGAAGCAUGGUCCAGUAACACACUCAGUUAAAUUUACGAAAUAUUUUAUGAAAACAAAAUGCAAAGUUUAAUAAUGGCACCAAAUUUAUCAUUAACCAACAGCUAGACUGAUGAGUCAACAGUAAACAUUCAAAACUCUCAGUAACUUACGUAAGUCAGACAGCAACUUUAUAUCAAGCAAACUUAACAACUUUUUUUACAUGCUGCCAAUAGCGCCUGCAAGCUUUCUUGAGAGGCCUCUUGCUCGACCCCAGCCCGUUAGCUGCGCAGGCGAAUUUUUUUUUAUAUAGUGGCUGUCGUGAUGUAUGACUCUUGCUUGGUCCAUGCUGCCCCCCGGUGCUCCUCUUGGACGAAGUCACUGAAGUUAGGGUUGAUUGAAGGCCUGGGCUGCAUGUGGGUAAUCAUCCGCCACUCGGCGAUGGCUUGAAAUAUCAGCGCGUUUAGGUGGGACUCGAUCCUAGGUCCACGGGCUCACCACGUAAUAGGGUAUUAAUCCAAGGUUGAAUUUCCUGUCACAAACGCAUAAAAAAUAAAUCAUACUGUAGAAAUACUUGGUGACUCCUUAAAGUAAACGUUUUC